GACCCGCUCCCCAUGUAGAUAUGAAGGACUCAUUCUAAGCUAAUGAAAACACAACGAUUCUUAGUUUGAGGUGGUUACACAUUAAUGAAAACAUAAUUAUGUAUAUUAUAUUCCAUUUCUGCUAAUAGAUCCCCAGAAAUGUUACACACUGUUCCUUUAAAGAAGACUUUCCUUUGGGUUGAGAUUUAUAAUCAUCUAAUUCUACUUCAAACACUUUUUCAGCUUUAGAAGUUGCAGUUUGCACAUUUGUUUUCAUUUAAAACCCGUGUUUCUACACUGCCCUUUUUCUUACUGUUGAUACUGUUUUUGAUAUUUUAUUUAUUUUCUAAAGAUUAAGCUCAACAGUGAAUAUAGGUUGAUAACCAGAGAGGAAUAU
This is a long non-coding RNA of Sebastes umbrosus (honeycomb rockfish), 376 nucleotides long. RefSeq lists it as uncharacterized. NCBI's taxonomy places the organism in Eukaryota, Metazoa, Chordata, Actinopteri, Perciformes, Sebastidae. The transcript is spliced from 4 exons. The record is from RefSeq and is a predicted model, not a curated record.